GCCAAGUUAGGUCUGCUUUUCUAUUUUGAUUCAGAAGAAAAAAGAAAGAAAAACAUGAGGGGACACAUAUUCCAGUAGAGGUUCACCAUCUCAAAUAUAAAAAAGCAAAUGCUGGAGAAAGUGAGGAGAAAUAAAGAGAGGGUUGAAUGCCUUGUGAAGGUUUGAUGAAAGCAAGUCACUUAGAAAUGCUAUCAGAUUAAGUACAGGAAGACGUUUAUAUUUCUGAGAAUUAAAACAUCAAAAGCAGCCAUUAAUGUGAUGUUUCCUUAAAUUCACAAAAGAAGAAUCAAAUAAUGUUUAUAUGAGGGGGUACUGAAAAAUGUGUACAAAGUAUUCUUGGAGCACAAAUGAGAGACUUCAACUCUUUCUCAAACAUCAGUGAUGAUUUUACAGAGAAGACAUUUGUGUUGCAUUAAAAGAAGGAAUUUACAAAGUAGAGAAGAGGUGAAAGCAAGAAGGGUGAUGUGGAAGAGCCAACUGAGGAAGGACAGAGGUCUCAGCGUGGAAGGAGUACAGGAAAUGAUGAAGAUAUAGCGGGUACAUGUGCAGGUUUGUUACAUGGGAAUAUUGCAUGAUGCUGAAGUUUGGAAUAUGUAUCCCAUCACCCAAUUGGUGAGCUUAGUACAUGAUGCUGCACUACUUGUUACCGUGGCCUAUUGUAUAAUUACAUUGGAACCUUUUUGAUACCUAUUCAAGUGAGUAUUUCCCUCUUGUUGCCUGAAAUUUCUUUUCUGCACUAGGUAAAUGAGCCAAUAAAGUAUUUCUUAAAACAUUGCCGUUACCAUGGAAAUAAGGGUUUCACAUUACUCUUGUCUAUGUAUGUUGACUUUAUUUUGGGUCAUGUAGUUGGGAGAUAGCUCUCAGAGUUUCAUGGUAUCCUAAAAGCAUUUUGUGAUUUUAUGGAGAUCUUUUCUUGAACUACUUUUUUAUUGAAAAACAUACUGUUUCCUAGAAGACCGGUGAGAGCAUUUGAAUUAUAAUCCAAAUAUUUUCCUGGCUUUCAUUGAAAUACAGUCUUGACUUAGGAAAAGCUUCUUAUUUUGCUAUACAUUUAGAAAGCAUGCAACAUAUUUUCUAUACAGUCAACACAAUCUUUGAGGCCAUCUGCAGUUUAUAACAAAUUUAUGAUAUAGUAGCUUAAAUUGAUGAGAUAAUGAGCUGCUGACAGACAUGUUUUUCUAAAUUGAUAUUUGAGGAUGGUGCAGCCAAAAUACUUGGCAUGAAAUAGCAAAGGAAAUGAGAGUUGUGUAUCUACAGAACUCAACUCUAUACUGCCACACAAGCUAAAAAGACUUAAAAUCUAAAAUUUUACUAGUACUCUUCAGUUCUAUCCUAUACUCUUUGAUUAAAUAUUGCCUUAACUUAGAAAGACUAUAGUAUUUUUUUCUCUUUUAUCUGUACAGAUACAGACAUGCCAAUUAUUGGCAAAUCCUGUUAA
RNAcentral lists this long non-coding RNA (1438 nucleotides) under Homo sapiens (human). Its description in RNAcentral is "HSALNT0111790". The record is from RNAcentral. Lineage: Eukaryota; Metazoa; Chordata; Mammalia; Primates; Hominidae.